Molecule: ribosomal RNA, 306 nt
Filed under: Triticum aestivum (bread wheat)
Lineage: Eukaryota; Viridiplantae; Streptophyta; Magnoliopsida; Poales; Poaceae
Description: partial small subunit ribosomal RNA
Source: RNAcentral
AUGCACCAACCGGCCGGAACGCGGCGCCUUCCAGCGCAGUUCCGUCGAGGCCACGACCCGAGACGAGGUGGCGGUAGAGAUCUCAAUCCUCCGGUCUGGCCGGCACGGCAAAUCCCUAGCAGCGGUGGUUACGGGCAGAACUCCCGAGUUGGAACCGCACAGGAUAGACAGAUCGAUGAUUGGGGAAAUCUUUAUCUCAUUGGCAUUGUUCCAAUUAGCCUUGUAUUUCUGUAUAUCCAAUACAUGUCAUUGCAGUUUCAGCGUACAGGACGUGGGUUACUAGGAUUCACUAAACCUACGGUUUAG